GGAGGUGUCUGUGGGUAGGGAAGGUAACUCACUUCAGAGUGACUACUACAUUAGUCUCCUAGCGCUGCCCUCACGAAGUACGACAGGUUCAAUGGCCUAAAACAACAGAAAUGUAUCUUUUCACAGGCCAGGAGGCUAGCAUUCGACAUCCAGAUGGCCAUAUGGUUGCUUCUGAGGGCUGUGAAGGAGACAUUCCCACGCCAUGAGGAGCUUCCGCAAGGAUAGCCAGCAAUCCUGGCCAUUCUCUCAUUACAGAUGCACCACUCCAAGGUCCAUCCCAUGGUCCUGGCACUGGUGUGUGGGCUGAGGACGCAGCACCAGCGAGCUUCAGAGAGUGUUGAGACUGACAGCUAGUUAACUUUGACAAACGCCCUGUGAAGUGGGCUCUCUGAUGGAAUCCAUGCUGUGAUGAUGGGGUACACAGAGAUCUUC
This 432-nucleotide long non-coding RNA is filed under the name Chinchilla lanigera (long-tailed chinchilla). Its description in RNAcentral is "lncRNA (ENSCLAG00000025722.1)". The record is from RNAcentral. Lineage: Eukaryota; Metazoa; Chordata; Mammalia; Rodentia; Chinchillidae.